GAUGAACGCUGGCGGCGUGCCUAAUACAUGCAAGUCGAGCGAACGGACGAGAAGCUUGCUUCUCUGAUGUUAGCGGCGGACGGGUGAGUAACACGUGGAUAACCUACCUAUAAGACUGGGAUAACUUCGGGAAACCGGAGCUAAUACCGGAUAAUAUUUUGAACCGCAUGGUUCAAAAGUGAAAGACGGUCUUGCUGUCACUUAUGGAUGGAUCCGCGCUGCAUUAGCUAGUUGGUAAGGUAACGGCUUACCAAGGCAACGAUGCAUAGCCGACCUGAGAGGGUGAUCGGCCACACUGGAACUGAGACACGGUCCAGACUCCUACGGGAGGCAGCAGUAGGGAAUCUUCCGCAAUGGGCGAAAGCCUGACGGAGCAACGCCGCGUGAGUGAUGAAGGUCUUCGGAUCGUAAAACUCUGUUAUUAGGGAAGAACAUAUGUGUAAGUAACUGCGCACAUCUUGACGGUACCUAAUCAGAAAGCCACGGCUAACUACGUG
Molecule: ribosomal RNA, 497 nt
Filed under: uncultured bacterium
Lineage: Bacteria
Description: partial 16S ribosomal RNA
Rfam family: Bacterial small subunit ribosomal RNA
Source: RNAcentral